This 1164-nucleotide small RNA is filed under the name Pongo abelii (Sumatran orangutan). Its description in RNAcentral is "retained intron". Lineage: Eukaryota; Metazoa; Chordata; Mammalia; Primates; Hominidae. The record is from RNAcentral.
AAUAUGAAUGAAACUGAGCUCUGAGCAGCACAUAACCUGGCCUGCAUCCAGGAAAUAGAGGACUUCGGAUCCUUCUAACCCUACCACCCAACUGGCCCCAGUACAUUCAUUCUCUCAGGAAAAAAAACAAGGUCCCCACAGCAAAGAAAAGGGAAUAGGAUAAAGAGAUACGUGGCUGCUGGCAGAGCAAGCAUGAGUUCGAUGGCUUCAGCAGUUCCGGUGGCCAAUUCUGUGUUGGUGUUGGGACCCCACAAUGGUUACCCUGUGACCCCAGGAAUUAUGUCUCAGGUGCCCCUGUAUCCAAACAACCAGCCGCAAGUCCACCUAGUUCCUGGGAACCCACCGAGUUUCGUGUCGAAUGUGAACGGGCAGCCUGUGCAGAAAGCUUUGAAAGAAGGCAAAACCUUGGGGGCCAUCCAGAUCAUCAUUGGCCUGGCUCACAUCGGCCUCGGCUCCAUCAUGGCGACGGUUCUCGUAGGGGAAUACCUGUCUAUUUCAUUCUACGGAGGCUUUCCCUUCUGGGGAGGCUUGUGGUUUAUCAUUUCAGGAUCUCUCUCCGUGGCAGCAGAAAAUCAGCCAUAUUCUUAUUGCCUGCUGUCUGGCAGUUUGGGCUUGAACAUCGUCAGUGCAAUCUGCUCUGCAGUUGGAGUCAUACUCUUCAUCACAGAUCUAAGUAUUCCCCACCCAUAUGCCUACCCCAACUAUUAUACUUACGCCUGGGGUGUGGUGAGUAUCCCUCUCAACCAAAGAUCCUCUAAGUUCAGAAUUAGCUACAUUUAGAAAACUCCCAGAAAGGGCCUGACAACCAAGCUUCCUCACUGAACACGGUAGGAAAAGGAGGUGCUUUCAGAAUAGGAACAAAUUUUAAAGUCCUUGACCCAUAGCUUUAAGCACAUGACCUUUCUCAGUUUGGGUUUCUGCCUUUGUAAAACAAUACCUACCUUGUGGCAAUGUUGAGAGAAUUAAAUGCAAUUUUACAAAGAAUGCAUAUGUGCCCACCAACCAGCACCUCUCCUCACAUUCUCUGCCUUCUUGCCUAUUACUAUAAGCAAGAGGUUAGCAAACUUAUUCUCUAAAGAGCCAAUAGUAAGCAGUUAAGGUUUUGCAGGCCUACAGUUUCUGUCGUGCAGCUAUAGCUGCCUUAUAGCAGCCACAGAAAACACU